This 378-nucleotide ribosomal RNA is filed under the name uncultured bacterium. Its description in RNAcentral is "bacterial SSU rRNA". It matches the Rfam family "Bacterial small subunit ribosomal RNA", at positions 30 to 409 of the family's 1533-position model. The record is from RNAcentral.
AUUGAACGCUGGCGGCAUGCCUUACACAUGCAAGUCGAACGGCAGCACGGGAGCAAUCCUGGUGGCGAGUGGCGAACGGGUGAGUAAUAUAUCGGAACGUGCCCGGUCGUGGGGAUAACGUAGCGAAAGCUACGCUAAUACCGCAUACGAUCUACGGAUGAAAGCGGGGGAUCGCAAGACCUCGCGCGAUUGGAGCGGCCGAUAUCAGAUUAGGUAGUUGGUGAGGUAAAGGCUCACCAAGCCGACGAUCUGUAGCUGGUCUGAGAGGACGACCAGCCACACUGGGACUGAGACACGGCCCAGACUCCUACGGGAGGCAGCAGUGGGGAAUUUUGGACAAUGGGCGCAAGCCUGAUCCAGCAAUGCCGCGUGCAGGAU